CCUACGGGUGGCAGCAGUGGGGAAUCUUGGACAAUGGGGGCAACCCUGAUCCAGCAAUGCCGCGUGUGGGAUGAAGGCCUUCGGGUUGUAAACCACUUUUGGCGGGGGCGAAAUAUCGAGUGAUAAUACCAUUCGGUGAUGACAGUACCCGCAGAAUAAGCACCGGCUAACUACGUGCCAGCAGCCGCGGUAAUACGUAGGGUGCAAGCGUUAAUCGGAAUUACUGGGCGUGAUGCGUGCGGACGCGGGUGAAAUGCCCGGGCUCAACCUGGGAACUGCAUUUGUGACUGCUUGACUAGAGUGCGGCAGAGGGGAGUGGAAUUCCGCGUGUAGCAGUGAAAUGCGUAGAUAUGCGGAGGAACACCGAUGGCGAAGGCAACUCCCUGGGCCUGCACUGACGCUCAUGCACGAAAGCGUGGGGAGCAAACAGGAUUAGAUACCCCGGUAGUC
Molecule: ribosomal RNA, 450 nt
Filed under: uncultured bacterium
Lineage: Bacteria
Description: partial 16S ribosomal RNA
Rfam family: Bacterial small subunit ribosomal RNA
Source: RNAcentral